GGAAGGGGACAGGGCCCGGUGGCCCUGCCGGUCUUCAAAACCGGUCGUACUCGCUUGCGGGCACAGGGGGGUUCGACUCCCUCACCCUUCCGCCA
RNAcentral lists this transfer RNA (95 nucleotides) under Deltaproteobacteria bacterium. Its description in RNAcentral is "tRNA-Sec". It matches the Rfam family "Selenocysteine transfer RNA". Lineage: Bacteria; Pseudomonadati; Myxococcota; Myxococcia. The record is from RNAcentral.